GCCGUAGCUAGUUGCCCUGAA
Non-coding RNA from Caenorhabditis elegans, 21 nucleotides. The record is from Ensembl. Lineage: Eukaryota; Metazoa; Nematoda; Chromadorea; Rhabditida; Rhabditidae.